Molecule: small nucleolar RNA, 83 nt
Filed under: Penicilliopsis zonata CBS 506.65
Lineage: Eukaryota; Fungi; Ascomycota; Eurotiomycetes; Eurotiales; Aspergillaceae
Description: A. fimigatus snoRNA Afu_199
Rfam family: A. fimigatus snoRNA Afu_199
Source: Rfam by way of RNAcentral
UCAGAUGAUGAGAAAAAUUUCAUUAGCUCUAGAUCAAGAGUCGUAUCUGCGGCGAUGACCGAUCAAACUAUAUUCUCUGAUGA